RNAcentral lists this ribosomal RNA (463 nucleotides) under uncultured Anoxybacillus sp. RNAcentral describes it as "bacterial SSU rRNA". It matches the Rfam family "Bacterial small subunit ribosomal RNA", at positions 920 to 1382 of the family's 1533-position model. Lineage: Bacteria; Bacillati; Bacillota; Bacilli; Caryophanales; Anoxybacillaceae. The record is from RNAcentral.
CCCGCACAAGCGGUGGAGCAUGUGGUUUAAUUCGAAGCAACGCGAAGAACCUUACCAGGUCUUGACAUCCCCUGACAACCCGAGAGAUCGGGCGUUCCCCUUCGGGGGACAGGGUGACAGGUGGUGCAUGGUUGUCGUCAGCUCGUGUCGUGAGAUGUUGGGUUAAGUCCCGCAACGAGCGCAACCCUCGACCUUAGUUGCCAGCAUUCAGUUGGGCACUCUAAGGUGACUGCCGGCUAAAAGUCGGAGGAAGGUGGGGAUGACGUCAAAUCAUCAUGCCCCUUAUGACCUGGGCUACACACGUGCUACAAUGGACGGUACAAAGGGUCGCGAACCCGCGAGGGGGAGCCAAUCCCACAAAGCCGGUCGUAGUCCGGAUCGCAGUCUGCAACUCGACUGCGUGAAGUCGGAAUCGCUAGUAAUCGCGGAUCAGCAUGUCGCGGUGAAUACGUUCCCGGGUCUU